UCAAGCUUCCGGCGCGGUGAGCUGAGCCUGACGGGGGCCCUGUGCGAGGCGGGCGACACCUCAGCUUUCCUUUCCCCUUUUGAACUUUUUCUUAGAGGGAGGCUCCAGUCCGUCUGUAGAGGACGAGGCCGUGGGUUCGAGAAAUCCUCGUAGUGCUUCCUAGAGUGAACGCGGAGAAACAAGUUAAACCAGAAGCAACUUUAAAAAAUCUUCUAAGUCUGGUGGGCGUGUCCAAUGGUUUUGAUGUCAAGAUGAUGACAAAUUCUCUCCAGAGAUGGUGUAAAAUCCAACCAUUGACAAGCAGGUGAAUUUAGUUCAAAAGUUGUGUCUUUUCAUACUUUGAGAAUAUCUAAUGUUCUACUAGUUCCACAGGUAAGAUUUACCUACUGAUGAGGACUUUUAAAAUAUCAGUAAAUGACUUAAAAGAUUAGAAAGAAAGAAAAAGAGAGAGAGGGAGAGUUUUGGUUUUGGUUGAUUGGCUUUAAAAACCGUAUGAAUUCCUUUUUUAUAGAAGGUAAAAUUAACAGAUACUGAUGAAUCUAUAAAGAAUUAUAAAAGAGAAAAUAGUAAUCACCCUUAUUCCCACUGCCGAGAAAUAAACACUGCUGAUAUUUGGUUGUAUUCUCUUGUUGUUUCAUUUUUAACCAGCAAGAAUAAGGCCCUUUUCUGCUGUCCUGAUACCCUACAGAAUCUCAGCAAUGCAGACAACUGACUUUAGUUGAACAAUAGAAGACCUUUUGGGGUUUUUAAUCAUUAAAAAUAUAUUUUUACCCUCCAAUAUUUCUAGAUGUCCAGCAAUAUGUGCUUUGACUCCACUCAUAUUUUCCAUUUUUCCUCUCUUCUAGAAUAUUCCUGGAAUCUUCUACCACUCUACAGCACUAGUCUAAAAGAACACAGCUUUUAGAACUAAACUGGGAUCCAUCCAUGGCAACAGGUGCAGAGGAACCCAAGGAGAAUGAAGGCUGUUAUGACUCCACCCUUUGGAAAAACCUCUCUGAAGCCGCAAGCCACGCACAGAAGCCACGUUCACCCCGUGUCCUCAUUGGCCCGAAGCAGUCCCGCGCCUACGUUGAGACCUUUGGCAUCUGAAGACAGGUCUUUCUCCCUAGUCUGGGCCCCACCUCCAUCCUGGCUGGCUUCGCUGUCCAUGAGCCUGAACUCCACUGGCCCUCACCUUCCCAGGCAUGUGCUCUUUGGUUUCACCUAGACCUCCAGGCCUGUGACUUCCCCAUUUGCUCCUCACCCAGGAGGCACCUUCUGGCACAAAUUCAUUAUCUUCUUCUCAUGCCACCAACCCCCCACCUUCUGCCUCUUUGACCUCUGCCACAGCCCACCUGCCACACUUUGACUCUGGAUCAGUCCCGCUGUCCACCUUCUCUGCUCUCAUACUUGGGCAGGAUAUUGGUUAUCUGUUGCGCAUGACAAAUUACCCAAAAGCUUAACAGCUUCAAACAGCAAACACUUAUUAUCUCAUACAGCUUCUAUGAGCUUAGCUGGUGGCCAUGGUUCAGGUUCUCUCAUGAGGUCACAGUGACCAUGUUGGCCAAGGCUGCAGUCAUCUGAAGGCUUGACUGGGGGAAGGGUCUGUUUCCAAGAUGGCUCCACUCAUGGCUGUUAACAGGAGGCCUCAGCUCCUCAGCCACAAGGGCCUCUAGAUAGGAAUGCUUGAGCAUCCUUAUAACAUGGCAGCUGGCUUCCCCCAGAACAAGUGACCAAAGAGGAAGUCACAAACUCUUUUGUGACCUAAAGUUGCAAGUCACACACUGUCACUUCUGCUACAUUCUAUUCCUUAGAAGCAAGUCACUAAGUCCAGCCCACGGUCAAAGUUAGGAGAAUUAGACUCCCCCUUUUGAAGGGAGGAGUGUCAAAAAAUUUGUGGACAUGUUUUAAAACCACCACAGUUCACUUCCUUCUUCUCUUCUCAUGACAGCAAUCACUCUACUUUCCUGCCCUGUUGACUGCAGCCAGAGCCAACUUGUGAAAUUUUAACUCUGGAUCCAUCUUGUCACCUACCUUCUCUGCUUCUGCUCUUGGGCAGCUGAGCCCUGAUGGAGAAAAAUCCCACAAACGGGCCAGGGGGGCCAUGCUGAUGCAUCUUCUCCAGCCUAGCUGGGCUCUUCCUCCUUCUGGUGCAUCUUUUCUGUGACCCCAGGUGACUCUCACUGCUGUGUCUUGGACAUCCAAUAUGCACCUCUUUCCUCAGUACCCAUCCACCACGCACCACUCUCUCCCUCUCAGUGGGCAAUUUGCCUCUGACUCCAUUGAUGACAUCUGCUUCCUCCCCUUCUUUCACAAGUGAAUCUGUAUCAUAAACUAUUUUCCCUCCCAUCUUCAGGGAAGAAGGGCUUCUCUUCCUUUAUUCAAGCUUGAUCAUUCCUGAUCCAAUUCCCCAUCCUUCCAGCAAUCAGCACAUAUUCCUCUCAAUCUUUCCCCUUUCUACUGGGUUCCAUCUCCUACCGCCGCAACUAUGAACCAACUCAUGUUUGUUCCAGCCUUUUCUUUUUUUUUAAGACAAAACAAAAUAAUAAUCUAUUUUUGGGCAAUCUCCUAGCCCCCUCCCAAGACACACAUAGCUACCCUUCAGAGACUGUCCUAUAUCUCCUUCACUUUACAGCUGAGCUUCUAGAAAGAGUGGUCUGCACUCUUGGUUUCUUCUUCCACCCUGCCCACCACCACCCAACUCUCAACCCAUGGCAACCCUCCACCCUCACUGGCCCCCAUGAUACUGUCCAGGGCCACCACACAGCCAGCUCCACAGGCACUAGAUUGUCCUAUCUUGUAUGGCCUCCGAGUAGCCCUGGACGCCCUGGUGACACCACUUUCCCUUUUGGGUGGACCUCCUUACCCUACUUUCCUGGGGCUCCUUUGCUUCUUUCUAGAAUGUUCUUGGUCUCUCUGAGGAAUCUCAUCAAACUCAUGUCAUUCUCACCCAGGUUUCCUCCACUGCACUUCUAGCCCAGUCCUUGUUUAGGAGCUCAGAACUUAGUGCCCAGCUGCCCUUGGCACUGCUCCCACCAUGUCACACCAUGAAUCUUAACCUCAACAUGUCCAAAACUAGACUGACUACGUUUCCUCCCAAACUUGGCAUUCCUGUUCACCCAGUCGCUCAAGCUGGAACCUGGGAACCUUCCAACUUUCUCCCAUAUGAGCAAUUAAUUUAGUAAUCUUGGAAAACAAAGCAACAACAACAACAAAAAUGGCUGAGGCCAUACUGCUGGGAUUCACAGCUGCCUCUACCACCUCCCAACCCGCUAACACUGGGCAAGUCUCCUAACCUCUGCGCCUCUGUUUUCUCGUCUAUAAACUGGGCACAACAACAGUACCUACUUCACGAGGGUGCUGUGCCAGAGAGUAAGAGUGGAAUAAGGGUCGGCUCUGACCAUCAGUCCUCUUCGCCCCCAGGGACAAACACUGCCCAGAAGUGCUGCUGGUCAAGGUCUGGUCCACAGGCUAGGGCCAGUUUGGGAAAUGUUUGUCAUUGGUCUGUAAUUAGAUAAGUACAGAAGUUGAAAGUAAGCAUUUAAAACUGUUGUAUAGUAAUUUAACAGGAUAAUUUUAUACCUGUUGAACGUAAUAAGAAAAAAUUGAGCUUCACUUCACACCCAUUAGAACGGCUACUAUCAAAACGCAGAGAAUAACAAGUGUAGGUGACGAUGGCAGACACUGGGGCUCUUGUGCACCGAGGACGGGAAUGUAAAAUGGGGCAGCCACCGUGGAAAACAGUAUUGUGGCUCCUUGAGAAGUUAAAAAUAAAAUUACCAUAUGAUCUAGCAAUUCUACUUUGGGGUGUACCCCCAAGAACUGAACGCAGGGCCUU
Long non-coding RNA from Equus asinus (donkey), 3817 nucleotides. The record is from Ensembl. NCBI's taxonomy places the organism in Eukaryota, Metazoa, Chordata, Mammalia, Perissodactyla, Equidae.